Molecule: long non-coding RNA, 86 nt
Organism: Alosa sapidissima (American shad)
Lineage: Eukaryota; Metazoa; Chordata; Actinopteri; Clupeiformes; Clupeidae
Exons: 3
Source: RefSeq, a predicted model, not a curated record
CAAGGACACUUCAGCCUUCCUACUGGUCGGUGUUCGAACCGGCAACCCUCCGGUUACAACCCCGAUGCCCUAACCAUUAGGCCACA